RNAcentral lists this ribosomal RNA (356 nucleotides) under uncultured bacterium. RNAcentral describes it as "partial 16S ribosomal RNA". The record is from RNAcentral.
GUAGGAGUCUGGGCCGUGUCUCAGUCCCCAUGUGGCCGUUCAUUCUCUCAGACCGGCUACUGAUCAUUGCCUUGGUGGGCCGUUACCCCUCCAACUAGCUAAUCAGACGCAAUCCCCUCCUUCAGUGAUAGCUUAUAAAUAGAGGCCACCUUUCAUCCAUCCUCGAUGCCGAGGUUGGAUCGUAUGCGGUAUUAGCAGUCGUUUCCAACUGUUGUCCCCCUCUGAAGGGCAGGUUGAUUACGCGUUACUCACCCGUUCGCCACUAAGAUUGAUAGAAGCAAGCUUCCAUCGCUCUUCGUUCGACUUGCAUGUGUAAGCACGCCGCCAGCGUUCGUCCUGAGCCAGGAUCAAACUCU